UAUGGCGGUAAUUGCGAUGAGGUUCCACCUCUUCCCAUUCCGAACAGAGAAGUUAAGCUCAUCAGCGCUGAUGGUACUGCGAAAGCGGGAGAGUAGGUCGCCGCCACCC
Molecule: ribosomal RNA, 109 nt
Filed under: Prevotellaceae bacterium
Lineage: Bacteria; Pseudomonadati; Bacteroidota; Bacteroidia; Bacteroidales; Prevotellaceae
Source: RNAcentral